RNAcentral lists this transfer RNA (74 nucleotides) under Saccoglossus kowalevskii. RNAcentral's name for it is "tRNA-Asn". It matches the Rfam family "tRNA". From Rfam's summary of the family: Transfer RNA (tRNA) molecules are approximately 80 nucleotides in length. Their secondary structure includes four short double-helical elements and three loops (D, anti-codon, and T loops). Further hydrogen bonds mediate the characteristic L-shaped molecular structure. tRNAs have two regions of fundamental functional importance: the anti-codon, which is responsible for specific mRNA codon recognition, and the 3' end, to which the tRNAs corresponding amino acid is attached (by aminoacyl-tRNA synthetases). tRNAs cope with the degeneracy of the genetic code in two manners: having more than one tRNA (with a specific anti-codon) for a particular amino acid; and 'wobble' base-pairing, i.e. permitting non-standard base-pairing at the 3rd anti-codon position. The record is from RNAcentral. Lineage: Eukaryota; Metazoa; Hemichordata; Enteropneusta; Harrimaniidae.
GUCUCUGUGGCGCAAUCGUUUAGCGCUAUCGGCUGUUAACCGAAAGGUUUGUGGUUCAAGCCCACCCAGGGACG